This is a long non-coding RNA of Ochotona curzoniae (black-lipped pika), 191 nucleotides long. RefSeq lists it as uncharacterized. The record is from RefSeq and is a predicted model, not a curated record. NCBI's taxonomy places the organism in Eukaryota, Metazoa, Chordata, Mammalia, Lagomorpha, Ochotonidae. The transcript is spliced from 3 exons.
GGGAGCUGGAUCAGAAGUGCAGUAGCUGGGACUUGAACUUGUCAUCAGGAUAAAAGCAUCACAAGAACUGAACUUACAUAUGGAAGGAUUACUUCAAAAUAAGAAACUCCAUCAUUCCUGUGGAAGAUUAGACUGAAUGGCUUCCAUGUUGAUCAAGCAAAUGAUAUAGGCAAAUAUACAGAGAGGAGGAC